UUGUAUCGAAUUGAUCCAAAUGGUUUCGGCUCUCAACCACAACAUGGAACUUGCCCUAUUUUGCGCCACAAUCAUCGUUUCAUCAAUUGUUGAUUGAACUAAUAGCCCCAUUGCUUGAUUUACUCGCUUUGCCCUCGAACACGUCAUCGGUCCCCCUUCGAUAAUCAACGGGUCUCGUCCUGAGCUUGUCUUCGUUGGGCUCGGCUCUUGAAUCACAUCAUAAUUACAAAAAGAGAAUUAUACUAUCACGUUCUUGAUAAAAGAGAAUUAUGCUAUCACGUUCUUGAAAAAAGAGAAUUGUACUAUCACAUUCUUAUAACAUGUUUAAAUGCAGGAGAUGAGUUGGAGAAGCUUGCUUUAGGAGUCAGCUUUUCUUCUGCCAAACUUUUUGAGGUUGGUGGAGGAAUCAUGGGAAAUUUAAUAGCCACGCGCUAAGACGAUUGUUUCUCCAAUCUUCUUCCUUUUAGGCACAUUGAUUUUCAGACUAUGAGAUCACCUCAAGGACUCCUUUGACAUCCAAGGGUCAUUGACUGACCAUAAAACCCUGUUCAUCUGGCUUUGUGAAAUUUCAGAAGGACGCAAGGCUUUGCUGAGGAUAUUAAAUAUAGAGAAUAGUACAAGUUAAUGAUUUAUUGUAUUUGAAGUGUGUAUCUUGGUAUUUGUGAUAGGAAUUGGUAGCUGCUGGAGUUAUGUAUUUUUCUUUUGAGUAUUCAAUUCUGGAAAAGUAAUAUUAUUGCACAUCUGAAUAUUUUAAGAACAUGGCUUAA
This is a long non-coding RNA of Olea europaea var. sylvestris, 767 nucleotides long. RefSeq lists it as uncharacterized. NCBI's taxonomy places the organism in Eukaryota, Viridiplantae, Streptophyta, Magnoliopsida, Lamiales, Oleaceae. The record is from RefSeq and is a predicted model, not a curated record. The transcript is spliced from 2 exons.